UGGGGAAUAUUGGACAAUGGGCGCAAGCCUGAUCCAGCCAUGCCGCGUGAGUGAUGAAGGCCUUAGGGUUGUAAAGCUCUUUCGCCGACGAAGAUAAUGACGGUAGUCGGAGAAGAAGCCCCGGCUAACUUCGUGCCAGCAGCCGCGGUAAUACGAAGGGGGCUAGCGUUGCUCGGAAUCACUGGGCGUAAAGCGCACGUAGGCGGAUCGUUAAGUCAGGGGUGAAAGCCUGGAGCUCAACUCCAGAACUGCCCUUGAUACUGGCGAUCUCGAGUCCGGAAGAGGUAAGUGGAACUGCGAGUGUAGAGGUGAAAUUCGUAGAUAUUCGCAAGAACACCAGUGGCGAAGGCGGCUUACUGGUCCGGUACUGACGCUGAGGUGCGAAAGCGUGGGGAGCAAACAGG
This 404-nucleotide ribosomal RNA is filed under the name uncultured prokaryote. Its description in RNAcentral is "bacterial SSU rRNA". It matches the Rfam family "Bacterial small subunit ribosomal RNA", at positions 355 to 776 of the family's 1533-position model. RNAcentral also lists the same sequence under 1 other name. The record is from RNAcentral.